Molecule: transfer RNA, 67 nt
Filed under: Amegilla calceifera
Lineage: Eukaryota; Metazoa; Arthropoda; Insecta; Hymenoptera; Apidae
Description: tRNA-Phe
Source: RNAcentral
AUUUAAAUAGCUUAAGAGUUAGAGCAUAAUAUUGAAAGUAUUAAAGUAAUAGAAAUAUUUUUAAAUA